Molecule: long non-coding RNA, 292 nt
Organism: Apodemus sylvaticus (European woodmouse)
Lineage: Eukaryota; Metazoa; Chordata; Mammalia; Rodentia; Muridae
Exons: 2
Source: RefSeq, a predicted model, not a curated record
UUCAACACAAUGAAUAAUUUUUUCCAGUCUGUGACAGGUCCCAUUGACUCUCUGACUGAAUGGUAGAUGAAGAAUUUGGUUCUCAUUUAGAGGAUGUUCCGUACCAAAAGAAGAGCUGGGAGGAGUGGAGGCGGAAAAAACAAAGUUUGGAAACCCUGUGAUGAGACCUGUUACUGAAUGCUAGUUGAAAAGCAAAUGAAGAAAAGCCACGCAGAUGCCUUCUGCUUCGUGAUGGACUGUGUUCCAUAAAACUAUAAUCCAAAAUAAAUCCUUAAGAUAUUUCUUGUCUUGA